AUUACGAAGUAUGGCUCCGCGACGAUCGCG
This 30-nucleotide small RNA is filed under the name Bombyx mori (domestic silkworm). RNAcentral describes it as "ovarian small RNA-12671". Lineage: Eukaryota; Metazoa; Arthropoda; Insecta; Lepidoptera; Bombycidae. The record is from RNAcentral.